Theobroma umbraticum is the source of this 1697-nucleotide RNA transcript. It is a transcript of the gene named craniofacial development protein, with no coding region annotated. Lineage: Eukaryota; Viridiplantae; Streptophyta; Magnoliopsida; Malvales; Malvaceae. The record is from RefSeq and is a predicted model, not a curated record.
CCCCAGUUUCCCCAUUUGGCCAUUUCCUCCACUGAUCUCCUCUCUCUUUCUCUCAAAGCUCUUUAAUGGCAUCCUCUGCAGAAACCCCAUAUCUUCUUUGAACCUAAAACCCUUCUAAAACCCCUCAAUUUCUAAAUGUCUGUCUUCAAAACUCUCUUCCUCUCUAACCAUACAAAAGUUCUCCUCAAAACCCAAAACCCUCUUUACAAAAGCCUCCCUCCUUCACCACCCUUCAUAAUCAGAACCCUUAAUUCCUCUCCCCAUAAACCAACCAAGAAGCCACUUUCUCUAUUGUUUCAAGAUGCAGUUGGUUUAACUGAAAAUACUGGUGGAAAUGAAAGCCAGAGUGAAAGUGAAGGCGAGAAUAUUGAGCUAUUAAGGGAAUUGAGGAAAUUGGAGAGAGAAGUUAGGAAGUUGAAAGAAAACCCAAAAGGGAAAAAUAAAGAAAAAGAGGGAGUAGAGAGGGGAAAACCCAAUAAAGUUAAGAGUUUGGUGGAGUUGUUUAGGGGUGAAAAGGAAGAAGAGGUGGAAAGGAUUGUGAAAGUGAGGAGAGAAAGGGAAGAGGUAGUUUUCAAGGAUUUUUCGCAGUUAGCUGAGAUUUUCGUUAGGCAUUUGUAUGCCAAAGGGUAUUUUAACAAAGCUAAUUUUUUGGAAGACAACAAGUUAGAUUUUGGUUAUUUUGAUAAUAGUUAUGGCAGGGAUUUUAUCAAGUAUGCUGCUUUCAAGUUUGGUAAAGAUCAUCAAGAGAUUGCAAAGUGGUUGUCUGGCAAUCACUUGAAAAAGGUGGUGCUCUUUGGUUGCCCUUCCCUUGAUAAAAAUAAUGUCUUUGCUGCCAAGAGAUUGCGCAAGUUCUUUAAAAUUGAAGAAAACAUUGUUUGCAGUCAAUGCAUGUUAAAGGAUUCAUGCAAGUAUGUUAAUAAAAGUGUAUGGAAAGCUGGUACCAAGAAUUUGCUUCUGGUUGAUGUAAUGAAGGUUAUUACUUUGUAUGCUUUAGACCAAAUGCAUCCAAAGCUCACAGUUCCAGAUGAAGUAAAGGAUUCGGUGAACCAAUUGCUGAAGGAGGUUAUAAAGCUAAGUCAACCUACAUAACAAGGCUUCUAAAGUGUUCCUACAGAUUAUUGAUAUGAUCGCAAGAAAUAUGGAUGAAGUUUUUACUGGUAAUGAUCUUAUUGGCAGACAAGCACAUGUCUAGAGAAAGGUUUUUGAAGUAAAAUAUGGAUGGCUGAUGUCCCAGGAUUGUAAUUUGUAUUCAUGAAUGAUGCAAUUCCUUUGUUGACUGCUUACAAAGCUCUAGAUUAUAGAGGACUACCCACCUAUAAGAUUUUGAAUCAGAUUUGCGUUGCUGAUGCAUACAUGCAAUUCAACUGGGGAUAUGUUAUCUGGAAAUCGAAACGUAGAAGUUCCAGCAUAGGAAAAUACAAAUAGUGAAGCAAUUGGAAACUUGGUCCAUCCAAGGAACAAAUUAGAAGAAUAGAUUUUCUCAUUGACUGAACUUUUCUUUAUGGGUUAUGUGUUUCUGGCAUUCACCUAUAGGAUUUGGGGUAGUGGAGUUGUUCAACAGUUUCUUCUUUUAUGUUUGUCAAGUCAAAAUUUGGGAUUGUAGACAUGCAGCCAGCCAUGAAAGCUCUUUGGAAGUUUAUGUUAAAACUCUGAUAUGUUUGCCAACAGUCAUUGUCAACAGGAUUUGAAAGCUUGGG